AGAAAGGAGGAAGUUUGUGUAAAGUCGCCUUGCUGAAUCCACAAAGUCCUUCUUUUCCAUCCUCCCCUCUGAGUCACUGGGGAGUCCUGCCUGUUUUUCACAGUUUCCAGGAGAGCAAGCCUAACAGUCACAGCGCUGAUGAUGGAGUUUCUGGUGGAAAGCGUGUGAACUUCAGCUGCAAACGACCUGAGGUCCAAAGCCUGCUCACAGAAGGAGACUAUGAUAGUCGCAUCUCCCAGUCUUUUGAAGGAAGAAAAUCAAGUCGCCAGAUAAGCCGGUUUCUAUGCUGUAGGCUCCAUUAUAGAACUGCCAAGGUGAUGCAAGUUCUUGGCAGAAUUCAGUGCCUUAGGCCUGCACAAAUGAGAGCCUCACUGCCUUGAUGGCAAUUGGCGUGGACCUUCCUCAGCAACUUGGAGUUUCCUGAACUUCUUCUCAUGUGCUCCCCUUCACCUUCAAGUCAAUUCCACUUAACUAUUCAGAUUCCUUUGAGCUUUUUCUCUAGCUAGAAGAGACAUCUGUUAUACUGUCUCUUGUGAUGAAUUGUGGCCUAAAGGAUGGUCUCUUGUCUUCAGGUUGGCUCUUAAUUAAACAUAAAAGUCACUUUUGUGUUUU
Long non-coding RNA from Meriones unguiculatus (Mongolian gerbil), 612 nucleotides. RefSeq lists it as uncharacterized. The record is from RefSeq and is a predicted model, not a curated record. Lineage: Eukaryota; Metazoa; Chordata; Mammalia; Rodentia; Muridae. The transcript has 2 exons.